AAAGAAAUACAUUUAUAUGCAACAACAUAGUAUGUACAACAAGGCACAAAGACAACAAUGUUCCGUCAGAUUUCACUACACUCCCGCUUCUUUUUCGGGUUAUGGUUAGUUCCAUGGGGGUGAUGAUGAUGUUGGUGGUUUGUA
Hibiscus syriacus is the source of this 144-nucleotide long non-coding RNA. RefSeq lists it as uncharacterized. The record is from RefSeq and is a predicted model, not a curated record. The transcript is spliced from 3 exons. Lineage: Eukaryota; Viridiplantae; Streptophyta; Magnoliopsida; Malvales; Malvaceae.